RNAcentral lists this long non-coding RNA (280 nucleotides) under Lathyrus oleraceus (garden pea). RNAcentral describes it as "Pisum sativum (pea) long non-coding RNA (PSAT_LNC018680)". The record is from RNAcentral. Lineage: Eukaryota; Viridiplantae; Streptophyta; Magnoliopsida; Fabales; Fabaceae.
UUUCCUUUCCUCUUUUCUUCUCUUUUUUUCCUUUUCAGAAGGAAUAUGACAGUAAUAAGAAUUGUCAUCCUUCUUUUCUUUUCUUUUUUCAUUUUUUUCUUUUUUCUAUUCUUUCUAUUUUUUUUGCCAACUUUUGAAAUAUCACAACACUAAUUCAACCCCAUACAACUCCAUAUAAGACUCCCGCAUCUCCUUAAAUAAGGUGAUAAUAUUGUUUUCGAUUUUAGGAUUGUAAUGAGUUAUAGAAAAAAAUGGGAUAAAUUGGAUCAUACGGGUUUCA